AGUAGCAUAUGCUUGUCUUAAAGACUAAGCCAUGCAUGCCUAAGUAUAAACUAAUUUAUACGGUGAAACUGCGAAUGGCUCAUUAAAUCAGUUAUAGUUUAUUUGAUAAUACCUACUACUUGGAUAACCGUAGUAAUUCUAGAGCUAAUACAUGCUAAGAGGGGGGACGCGAGAACCCCUGCAUUUAUUAGAUACAAAACCAGUGCGUGGCGUGGAAACACGCUGCGGAACACAUGGCGAGUCAUAAUAACUGAGCGAAUCGCAUGGCCCCAGCGCCGGCGAUGAUUCAUUCAAAUUUCUGCCCUAUCAACUUUGGAUGGUAGUGUAGUGGACUACCAUGGUGAUAACGGGUGACGGGGAAUUAGGGUUCGAUUCCGGAGAGGGAGCCUGAGAGAUGGCUACCACUUCCAAGGAAGGCAGCAGGCGCGAAAAUUACCCAAUUGCAACGAGUGCAGAGGUAGUGACAAUAAAUAACAAUACGGGACCCGACAAGGGUCUCGUAAUUGGAAUGAGUACAAUUUAAACCCCUUAACGAGGAACAAUUGGAGGGCAAGUCUGGU
Molecule: ribosomal RNA, 560 nt
Filed under: uncultured eukaryote
Lineage: Eukaryota
Description: bacterial SSU rRNA
Rfam family: Eukaryotic small subunit ribosomal RNA
Source: RNAcentral